ACCAAGACCUUCGGGUUUUGGGGACAGCGGCGAACGGGUGAGUAACACGUGAGUAAUCCACCCUUGGUACCGGGAUAGCUCGGGGAAACUCGAAUUAAUACCGGAUAGCCCAUUAGCCUUUCGAGGCGAAUGGAAAAGGUAGCUUCGGCCUCCGACCAAGGACGAGCUCGCGGCGGAUUAGCUUGUUGGCGGGGUAAUGGCCCACCAAGGCGACGAUCCGUAGCUGGUCUGAGAGGACGAUCAGCCACACUGGGACUGAGACACGGCCCAGACUCCUACGGGAGGCAGCAGUGGGGAAUCUUGCGCAAUGGGCGAAAGCCUGACGCGGCGACGCCGCGUGAGGGAAGAAGGCCUUCGGG
This 359-nucleotide ribosomal RNA is filed under the name uncultured bacterium. RNAcentral's name for it is "bacterial SSU rRNA". It matches the Rfam family "Bacterial small subunit ribosomal RNA", at positions 71 to 422 of the family's 1533-position model. The record is from RNAcentral.